AAGUUGUAACAAGGUUUCCGUAGGUGAACCUGCGGAAGGAUCAUUAUUGAGAUAGUCGGAAGCCUAUUAGGUCACCCAAACGCUUGAAAUAUUAGCGGAAUGGGCAGUAAUACAAUCGGCAUGACCGUUUGAAUCCAAGGGCAGCUAUCCACCCGUGUAUAUAUACUCUGUUCGUUCCUGGCCGGUCAUACCCGGCCAGAGAACCAACCAUCUUGAAUUUUAUGGAACGUCUGAGUACUAUAUAAUAGUUAAAA
Molecule: unclassified non-coding RNA, 254 nt
Filed under: plant metagenome
Description: partial contains small subunit ribosomal RNA and internal transcribed spacer 1
Rfam family: Eukaryotic small subunit ribosomal RNA (bases 1-46)
Source: RNAcentral